This 466-nucleotide ribosomal RNA is filed under the name uncultured bacterium. RNAcentral's name for it is "partial 16S ribosomal RNA". It matches the Rfam family "Bacterial small subunit ribosomal RNA", at positions 28 to 507 of the family's 1533-position model. The record is from RNAcentral.
GAUGAACGCUGGCGGCGUGCUUAACACAUGCAAGUCGACCGAUGAAGCCCAGCUUGCUGGGUGGAUUAGUGGCGAACGGGUGAGUAACACGUGAGUAACCUGCCCUUAACUCUGGGAUAAGCCUGGGAAACUGGGUCUAAUACCGGAUAGGAGCGUCCACCGCAUGGUGGGUGUUGGAAAGAUUUAUCGGUUUUGGAUGGACUCGCGGCCUAUCAGCUUGUUGGUGAGGUAAUGGCUCACCAAGGCGACGACGGGUAGCCGGCCUGAGAGGGUGACCGGCCACACUGGGACUGAGACACGGCCCAGACUCCUACGGGAGGCAGCAGUGGGGAAUAUUGCACAAUGGGCGCAAGCCUGAUGCAGCGACGCCGCGUGAGGGAUGACGGCCUUCGGGUUGUAAACCUCUUUCAGUAGGGAAGAAGCGAAAGUGACGGUACCUGCAGAAGAAGCACCGGCUAACUACGUG